UGUAUGUCUGGGGAGAUGGCUUGGAUUUUUAAUUGUUGAAAGAAGACCCCCAGUCAUACUGGAGAGAUGGCUUAGCUGUUAAAGGCUAGGCUCACAACCAAAAAUAUA
Cricetulus griseus (Chinese hamster) is the source of this 108-nucleotide microRNA precursor. The record is from Ensembl. Lineage: Eukaryota; Metazoa; Chordata; Mammalia; Rodentia; Cricetidae.